Molecule: ribosomal RNA, 253 nt
Filed under: uncultured bacterium
Lineage: Bacteria
Description: partial 16S ribosomal RNA
Rfam family: Bacterial small subunit ribosomal RNA
Source: RNAcentral
UACGAAGGGUGCUAGCGUUGUUCGGAAUUACUGGGCGUAAAGCGCGCGUAGGCGGUCUAUCAAGUCAGAGGUGAAAUCCCUGGGCUCAACCCAGGAAUUGCCUUUGAAACUGUUAGACUUGAGUACUGGAGGGGAUAGCGGAAUUCCUAAUGUAGAGGUGAAAUUCGUAGAUAUUAGGAGGAACACCGGUGGCGAAGGCGGCUAUCUGGACAGUAACUGACGCUGAGGCGCGAAAGCGUGGGGAUCAAACAGG